GAUGAACGCUGGCGGCGUGCCUAAUACAUGCAAGUCGAGCGAACAGACGAGGAGCUUGCUCCUCUGACGUUAGCGGCGGACGGGUGAGUAACACGUGGAUAACCUACCUAUAAGACUGGGAUAACUUCGGGAAACCGGAGCUAAUACCGGAUAAUAUAUUGAACCGCAUGGUUCAAUAGUGAAAGACGGUUUUGCUGUCACUUAUAGAUGGAUCCGCGCCGCAUUAGCUAGUUGGUAAGGUAACGGCUUACCAAGGCAACGAUGCGUAGCCGACCUGAGAGGGUAAUCGGCCACACUGGAACUGAGACACGGUCCAGACUCCUACGGGAGGCAGCAGUAGGGAAUCUUCCGCAAUGGGCGAAAGCCUGACGGAGCAACGCCGCGUGAGUGAUGAAGGUCUUCGGAUCGUAAAACUCUGUUAUUAGGGAAGAACAAAUGUGUAAGUAACUACGCACGUCUUGACGGUACCUAAUCAGAAAGCCACGGCUAACUACGUG
This 497-nucleotide ribosomal RNA is filed under the name uncultured bacterium. Its description in RNAcentral is "partial 16S ribosomal RNA". It matches the Rfam family "Bacterial small subunit ribosomal RNA", at positions 28 to 507 of the family's 1533-position model. The record is from RNAcentral.